GGAGGGAGUUAAAGGCAGUGGAGCAAACAAAGCAAGAAAAAAGUACUGAUGAAAAGUGCAGAGGAGAGCAAAGUAUUUGGACCACCUGAAGCUAUGACAAACGAGGAGGUUCUGUAUCUCCUUUUGGACCUGGCGGAGCCCCGGACAUCUGGGAAGCCAAAAGGCCGAGGUUUUCCAAAGAGCAGCGUGGAGAGGAUGCAGAAGCUGGGGCGCAGGAAGGCUGAUCCUGUCAUGUGAAGUUGGCAGUCUGCAUGAGUGUGGGACAUGCGGAGGAGCUUGGAGCUGGGAGAAAUGGAGCCCUGAGGAGAGCUCUAUGCUUUUUCUGGGCUCUAGCCAGCACCAACUUGCAAACAGGUGCCAGCGCCAACUCCCAACACCCUUCCGGUUAGAAAGCUACCGUUUAAAAGGCACACACUGCUCGGAGUCGGGGCGGGUUUGAGGUGCUCGUGGGAGAUGCUUCUCUGAGACUUACUCUUCUAUAUAAAAUAAAACAUCAGGACUUGGCAAUUCUAGGUUCUUCCAGCCUUUAAUACGCACAUGGUUUCUAUACACAGAUAUCGACAAUGAGAUGCCACACGUGGAGGCUUUUAAGGAAAGAAAGAAUUCUUUCUGCAAACUUCAGCCAAAUGCAUGCCUGACUAACCCGGGGAAAGCGGAGGGCUGGUGUGGCCUCGGAGC
Molecule: long non-coding RNA, 678 nt
Organism: Fukomys damarensis (Damara mole-rat)
Lineage: Eukaryota; Metazoa; Chordata; Mammalia; Rodentia; Bathyergidae
Exons: 3
Source: RefSeq, a predicted model, not a curated record